RNAcentral lists this long non-coding RNA (307 nucleotides) under Panax ginseng (ginseng). Its description in RNAcentral is "long non-coding RNA (PGIN_LNC014518)". The record is from RNAcentral. Lineage: Eukaryota; Viridiplantae; Streptophyta; Magnoliopsida; Apiales; Araliaceae.
UACAAUACAUGAAUAGAUACCCAUGCAGCUAUAACCAUUAACUCAUAAUACACACUUAUUCGAUCAGCUUUCCUUUUCCUUUGUUCGUGCCUGAGCCUUCAGGUUGCUCAUACAUAACUGAAAAUAUUUAAUUUAAGCAAGGAUGAGCAUUUGAGUGCCCAGAAAGUAAUAGCAAUUAUAUAUAUAAACUGAAAGAAUAUAAGUAUUCUCUUUACAUAACACUUCUACAACGAAUCAAAAGUUGUGAAGUAAUCUGUACUGAUAAAAGAUUCACAUAACAACUCUCUUUCAAAUUUUUGAAAUGAGG